AGACCAGACCCAGUUAUCAUAAUGACAGGACAAUGGGUUAUGUCAUGGUAGCCAAGACAGACAUCAAUGUUUGAUAGGGAAAUUCCAGGCUACUAAAAACUAAAAUCCACGGGGAAAAUGUAGACUUUAUUUUUAAUUGAUAUGAAAAGUCAAGAUUAACUUAAGAAGAAAAGAGGAAGAGAAUUUGACCUUACUUCACCUUUUCGUUCCCUCCAGGCCCCCAGCCCACUGGAUGGUGUCUGCUACAUUGAGAGUGGAUCUUCC
This 264-nucleotide long non-coding RNA is filed under the name Pan troglodytes (chimpanzee). RNAcentral's name for it is "long non-coding RNA NONPTRT005785". The record is from RNAcentral. Lineage: Eukaryota; Metazoa; Chordata; Mammalia; Primates; Hominidae.